GACGAACGCUGGCGGCGUGCUUAACACAUGCAAGUCGAACGCUGAAGCUCAGCUUUUGUUGGGUGGAUGAGUGGCGAACGGGUGAGUAACACGUGAGUAACCUGCCUCCUUCUUUGGGAUAACGCCCGGAAACGGGUGCUAAUACUGGAUAUUCACUGGUCUUCGCAUGGGGGUUGGUGGAAAGGGUUUUUCUGGUGGGGGAUGGGCUCGCGGCCUAUCAGCUUGUUGGUGGGGUGAUGGCCUACCAAGGCUUUGACGGGUAGCCGGCCUGAGAGGGUGACCGGUCACAUUGGGACUGAGAUACGGCCCAGACUCCGACGGGAGGCAGCAGUAGGGAAUAUUGCACAAUGGGCGCAAGCCUGAUGCAGCGACGCCGCGUGAGGGAUGGAGGCCUUCGGGUUGUGAACCUCUUUCGCUCAUGGUCAAGCCGCAACAAUGGUUGUGGUGAGGGUAGUGGGUAAAGAAGCGCCGGCUAACUACGUG
This 483-nucleotide ribosomal RNA is filed under the name uncultured bacterium. Its description in RNAcentral is "partial 16S ribosomal RNA". It matches the Rfam family "Bacterial small subunit ribosomal RNA", at positions 28 to 507 of the family's 1533-position model. The record is from RNAcentral.